UUGCUCUCUGAUUAGCGGCGGACGGGUGAGUAAUGCCUAGGAAUCUGCCUGGUAGUGGGGGACAACGUUUCGAAAGGAACGCUAAUACCGCAUACGUCCUACGGGAGAAAGCAGGGGACCUUCGGGCCUUGCGCUAUCAGAUGAGCCUAGGUCGGAUUAGCUAGUUGGUGAGGUAAUGGCUCACCAAGGCGACGAUCCGUAACUGGUCUGAGAGGAUGAUCAGUCACACUGGAACUGAGACACGGUCCAGACUCCUACGGGAGGCAGCAGUGGGGAAUAUUGGACAAUGGGCGAAAGCCUGAUCCAGCCAUGCCGCGUGUGUGAAGAAGGUCUUCGGAUUGUAAAGCACUUUAAGUUGGGAGGAAGGGCAGUAAGUUAAUACCUUGCUGUUUUGACGUUACCGACAGAAUAAGCACCGGCUAACUCUGUGCCAGCAGCCGCGGUAAUACAGAGGGUGCAAGCGUUAAUCGGAAUUACUGGGCGUAAAGCGCGCGUAGGUGGUUCGUUAAGUUGGAUGUGAAAUCCCCGGGCUCAACCUGGGAACUGCAUCCAAAACUGGCGAGCUAGAGUAUGGUAGAGGGUGGUGGAAUUUCCUGUGUAGCGGUGAAAUGCGUAGAUAUAGGAAGGAACACCAGUGGCGAAGGCGACCACCUGGACUGAUACUGACAC
Molecule: ribosomal RNA, 669 nt
Filed under: Pseudomonas sp. EECC-501
Lineage: Bacteria; Pseudomonadati; Pseudomonadota; Gammaproteobacteria; Pseudomonadales; Pseudomonadaceae
Description: bacterial SSU rRNA
Rfam family: Bacterial small subunit ribosomal RNA
Source: RNAcentral